Molecule: small nuclear RNA, 112 nt
Filed under: Nippostrongylus brasiliensis
Lineage: Eukaryota; Metazoa; Nematoda; Chromadorea; Rhabditida; Heligmosomidae
Source: RNAcentral
GUUCAUUCCUGAACAUAUAACAAAACUGGAACAAUACAGAGAAGAUUAGCAUGGCUCCUGCGCAAGGAUGACAAUAAAAAAAAAUUGUGGCUCGAGCAGGUUCCACAUUUAC